AGUUCAGUCAUGGAAAAAUACCUGAAACAUUUGGAGACUGUUGUUGAAGCAAUUCAGAAAGCUCGCUUAAAGAGCAUGAACUUUAGACAACUUGUAAGUGUAUUCUCAAUAUCUUUGAAAGGACUUUGUUUGAAGAAUUAUAUUACCAUAUAGUAUGCCCCCACCCCAUACCAUCUGAAGAAACUGUAUCAGUCUAUCAUCACAGGUAAGUGGUUUUUCAAAAAAACAAAUUACCAUUUUUUCUUGUUCUAUAAA
Herpailurus yagouaroundi (jaguarundi) is the source of this 255-nucleotide long non-coding RNA. RefSeq lists it as uncharacterized. The record is from RefSeq and is a predicted model, not a curated record. NCBI's taxonomy places the organism in Eukaryota, Metazoa, Chordata, Mammalia, Carnivora, Felidae. The transcript is spliced from 3 exons.